GGGGGCGAAGGGCUUCGACCAGGCAGUAUGUUGGUAAAAGUGGCACGUAGAGGUUGUCAGGAGGCCUCUUAAAACACCUGGCAGAACUUUUUACAUGCCGACGCAAACUAUGCGUUAGCUGCUUAAGAAUAGCAGCCCGUCUAUGGAUUCUUGCCCGUGGAGUCUAUAGACGGCCGGUUAGCGGGCUAUGCUCCAAACCCUCGCCCAAAGGGGGCGGAGCGAGAAACUUCUUGGGCUAGGCUUUAAAAAUCCUGCCUGUUGGAGUUUUGAAGCCGAAACUCAAAAAACAGGCUAAACGUGUAGAAGCUUUUAUCACGCUGGCCUGGGACGUGGGUUCGAUUCCCACCGCCUCCAUUA
This 357-nucleotide transfer-messenger RNA is filed under the name Planctomycetota bacterium. Its description in RNAcentral is "Planctomycetes bacterium transfer-messenger RNA". It matches the Rfam family "transfer-messenger RNA". From Rfam's summary of the family: Bacterial tmRNA, also known as 10Sa RNA or SsrA, is named for its dual tRNA and mRNA-like properties. Its role is to liberate the mRNA from a stalled ribosome. To accomplish this part of the tmRNA is used as a reading frame that ends in a translation stop signal. Lineage: Bacteria; Pseudomonadati; Planctomycetota. The record is from RNAcentral.